This 202-nucleotide ribosomal RNA is filed under the name uncultured bacterium. Its description in RNAcentral is "partial 16S ribosomal RNA". It matches the Rfam family "Bacterial small subunit ribosomal RNA", at positions 1299 to 1500 of the family's 1533-position model. The record is from RNAcentral.
UGUAGUCUGCAACUCGACUACAUGAAGCUGGAAUCGCUGUAAUCGCAGAUCAGAAUGCUGCGGUGAAUACGUUCCCGGGUCUUGUACACACCGCCCGUCACACCAUGGGAGUCGGAAAUGCCCGAAGCCGGUGACCAAACCAAUAAGGAAGGAGCCGUCGAAGGCAGGUCUGAUAACUGGGGUGAAGUCGUAACAAGGUAGC